GAUGACGAGCAGUAUGUGUGGGAGUCCCAGGCUGGUGGUUCCUUCACUGUGACACGUGAUACUACUGGAGAGCCCCUUGGGAGGGGUACUAAGAUCACCCUCUACCUCAAGGAUGAUCAGGUACAAAACUCAAAAGUCUUGCCAUUAUCUACUUUCUUAUGCUACCUGUUCUGUUCACAUUUUAAUAUGUUCUGGGUACACUUGGUAGGGUACUGUUAGAUUGAAAUGCUGUUUAUGUCUUACUUCUGUUCAAAAUUCCCAUGAUUCUAUAAAUGUACCGUUCGAUUGAAAUGGUGUUCAUGUCUUUUAUUUCUGUGCUCUGGGGUUGUAAUGGAAGGGUGUACCUGUUCAUUGUUGAUUAAUGAUGCUCAGUUUUUGGAGGGUUUGGCAGAGUGUUCAGUGCUGGUGAAACUUGAGUUGUGUGCUGAUCAUAGUACUAUGUUUUUGACAUGUCUGUUGCAGUUGAAUUUAAUUGUUUAUCAUUGUUAUAGAAUUCAGUUUGUAUAAUUGUUACUAAGGUCUUGCUGUGAUCAUAUAUGUCUGUUGCAGUUGAUUGUUUACCAUUGUUCUAGAUUCAGAUAGUAUAAUUGUCGGCAAGAAUCCCUUAAAAUAUGAGUCAUUACUGUUGUCAUUGCAUAAAAUUGGACGAGUGUAAUUAGUGCCGUCCUAGAUUGUUGAUGCUAGCUAGUUUCUACUACUGCUACUGUUUUUGUUAGUAGUUAGUACUGCAUUUGUGCCAAGCGGCUUGGACCAUGUGGACUGACCUCAAUUCAUGUGCUAUUUUGUGUUUUUACUAUGAAUCAUAGUGCUAUGUUUUUGGGAUAUUGCAGUUCUGCCUUUCAUUGAUGCUAAUGGGUAUUUGAUAACUGAGGCAUGUCAGUUGCCCGGUUGCCCCUGACAAUUUAUCUAUUGUUCUCUGCAGUUGGAGUACCUUGAGGAGCGUCGCCUUAAGGAUCUGGUGAAGAAGCACUCUGAGUUCAUCAGCUAUCCCAUCUCUCUCUGGACGGAGAAGACCACUGAGAAGGAAAUUUCUGACGAUGAAGAUGAGGAUGAGAAGAAGGAUACUGAGGAGGGCAAGGUUGAGGAAAUUGAUGAAGAGAAGGAAGAAAAGGAGAAGAAAAAGAAGAAGAUCAAGGAGGUUUCUCACGAGUGGAACCUGAUCAACAAGCAGAAGCCCAUCUGGAUGAGGAAGCCUGAGGAGAUCAC
RNAcentral lists this long non-coding RNA (1206 nucleotides) under Triticum aestivum (bread wheat). Its description in RNAcentral is "long non-coding RNA (TAES_LNC015992)". The record is from RNAcentral. Lineage: Eukaryota; Viridiplantae; Streptophyta; Magnoliopsida; Poales; Poaceae.